Long non-coding RNA from Mauremys reevesii (Reeves's turtle), 536 nucleotides. RefSeq lists it as uncharacterized. The transcript has 3 exons. The record is from RefSeq and is a predicted model, not a curated record. NCBI's taxonomy places the organism in Eukaryota, Metazoa, Chordata, Testudines, Geoemydidae.
CAGGUAUGUAAGGGGCAGGGCGUCUCCAGUCAGUCAGCGAGAUAAAAGAAUGAACUUAAGUGAGAACCCAGCUGCGAUAUUGUGAACCUUAUUUUAUCAGCAAUGGCUCCCUUGUCUGGCUACCGAUACGCAAUGCCCUCUGGAAUGUUUUGUUCUCGGCCUGUCAUUCUUCCACCGGGAUUCUUGCAUCAAGUCUUAGAAUAAAGGUCUCUUUAAAUCAAAUAAUUUAUGGCAGCCAGCACUGUCCAGCCCCAGCGGUCACGAGUUCUUAAUGAACGCAGGAGCAGCCUUUUCUUUCCCCCGAAGCGAAACAUCAUAAAAAGAUUCCAAUGCCGGCGGCAUUUCUGAUGUGGACAGUAGCUGACUGGGAAUUGGAGUGUACCACCAACUCAUCUCGCAUCAGAUACUGAACAAGCAUCAGAUGACAACAACUUUAGUCAAUAAAGAUCUGGGCUUACGGUGUGACCUGGCGUAGCUCUGGAGAGUGGUAGCAAUAGUUGCCUAUAAGUAGGGCAUUUAUUUAAAUGAAUGCUGUA